CUGGGAGAUGCUGUGUAUAUCUAGGCGAAAGCAAAAGCACUUUAUUUGGCCUUCUGAAAGUAGAUGCAUUUAGGAAUCUUUAAGAUUACCUACAACAGAACAGCAAUGCACCGUGGAUGACCGUUUUGUGAACCUAGGAGAGGAGGUAAUUCUGACUUUGCUACGACAAUAUGGCACUUCUGAAUCAGCUACUCAUGGUUGAAGCCAUUGGCACCAAAACAAACCUGGAGCACCAUGAAGCACCGUGACAGAACACCGGACCAAGCAAAGUAUGAACUGGGCUGAGGAGUUAAUUUGGAACAUUCAGCAGGAUGGAUGGCCUUUGGAACAAUAUGUGGAGGAGGUCCUGAGUGUUGUACAUCUGAGCCCGCUCGCUCCAUUCCACCCAUGCUUCCCCAAGUUCUCCCAAGUUCGGCUUCAGUUCUCAGCCCAGAUACAGUGACAGCUCCACUGUCAAGCCCACCGGCUGAUUCACUCCCAAGCCCUAUGAUGACAGCAGCUAUCUCCUUCACCUCAGCCCAAAAGAGGAGAAUGAGGAGAAAGAGACAGAUGGCUCGAGCGCCAGACCAGAGUCGAGAGAUGGCUCGAGCGCCAGACCAGAGUCGAGAGAUGGCUCGAGCGCCAGACCAGAGUCGAGAGAUGGCUCAAGCGCCAGACCAGAGUCGAGAGAUGGCUCGAGCGCCAGACCUCGCUGUUCUCGUGUCCAGCCCAGGGAGGGCCUCAGAUCCCAGGUCAGGCCCAGGAGAGCCUCCUGUUCCCACGUCAAGCCCAGAGAGGGCCUCGGAUCACGAGUCUAGCUCAGAGAGGGCUCUAGAUUCCACGUCAAGCACAGAAAGGGCUUCUGUCCUCACGUCUGGCCCAGUGAGGGCUGUUGUUCCUAUGUCCGGCCCAUGGAGGGCCUCAGAUCCUGAGUCUAGCCCAGAGAGGGCUCCUGUUCCUACGUCAAGCCCAGAGAGGGCUGUUAUUUUAGCCUCUGGCCCAGGGAGGGCCUCAGAAACCAAAACUAACCCAGAGAGGGCUCCUGUUUCCACGUCAAGCC
Molecule: long non-coding RNA, 1039 nt
Organism: Cyprinus carpio carpio
Lineage: Eukaryota; Metazoa; Chordata; Actinopteri; Cypriniformes; Cyprinidae
Source: Ensembl